CAACCAUUAAUUCUUAAAUGUGUUAAGAUUAUUUGAUGUCAUGGUAAAAUGUUUAUGAAAUAUUACAUUUUAAAAGUGUAGUAUAGUAACCUACAAUGUGAUACCAAUUCUGUAAAACAGUAAAUGUAUUAAUGAAACACUCUAAGUAAAGGAAAAGUGAGUAGUUAUCGCUCUUUUUUAGUAUGUUUUAAUUGAUAUAUCAUGGUUAUAUAUAUUUUUGGGGUACAUGUGAUAUUUUGAUACAUGUAUACAACAUGUAAUGAUCAAGUCAGGGUAAUUGGGAUGUCUGUCACCUCAAACAUUUAUCUUUUUUUGUGUCAUGAACAUUAUAAUUCUUUCCUUGUAGUUGUUUUAAAAUAUACAAUAAAUUAUUAUUCAUUAUAAUUUUUUAAUUAAAUAUUUUUAAAAUUUUUAUUAUUUUUAUUUUUUUUAGAGACAGGAUCUUGCUGGUCACCCAGACUGGAGUGCAAUGGUGCAAUCAUAGUUCACUGCAGCCUCGAACUCUUGGGCUCAAGCAGUCCUCCUACCUCAGCCUCCAGAGUUGUUAUCUAUAAUUUUGAACAGUAGUUAUCUGUAACAGUGAGAAGCAAAGGUUUUCCUCAUUUCCUCUUUUACAGUUUCUGUAUUUUCCAUAAUUGAUACAUCAUCACAUAUUACAAUUAUGAUGAGAAAACAUGAUACAUAUUUUUAUUUGGAAAAUACAUAAAUAAAAACAAAAUCUAUGACCUCACCGUUCAGACUCAACAUCUCUUCCAUUUUGAUGUCAUGCGAUGUUUCUGACGGAGGUUUAAUUGAAAUGAAACAGCAUCAAUAAGCAUGGGCUCCACAGUCUUCCCACAUCGCUCUGAGUGCCCGGGGAGGGACUGGGGACUCCCCCCACACAUUAACCCACGAGGACCUCUCACAUGGACCUUUUUACAUUCUCUCUAAUCUUUCCCAAAGCCUUGCAAGGUGGGAGUAAUAUUAUUAUUCCCAUUUCAGAGAUGACAAAACUAAGAAACUCGUCCUCUGUGAGUUUCUGUGCUAUUAGGCUGUGUCUCAUGUCCCCGUACAAAGUAUCUUUGUAUGGGAGGCCUAAUGGUUAAGAGCAUGGACUUCUGUCCGACAGAAUUCAUUAAGUUCCAGGCCAGACACACUGCCGCUCUCUGGGAAUGUGUCCAUGGGCUAGGGGUGGCACUGAGCUUCCAUUCCAUUUCUUAUAAAAUAAUGACGACAAGAUCGUUUUCCUUAAAGGGUGGCUGUGAGCCUUCAAUUACACAGUGAUGAAAAGACCUUAGCACAGUGCUGGGCAACGGCUAGCUACUUCAGAGGCACAGCUGAGACUUGCACAGAGGUACCUGGCUGCAAAGUCCGGCUCCUCUACACUCUGCAGAGCUGUUUUCCCCCUUCAGAGCUCCUCUCCUCCGGGAGGGCUUGCCUCGCCCCGGUCCAGGAUCUCUGCCUUCGGUUGAAGCGCAGCGCCCCCAGCCGUCCGCAGGAGGGAUCGACGCCUCUGUCUCCCCGAAGUGAGGGCGCUCGCUGCGGAGCUGGGGGUGGUCUCCUCUUCCCCCCAUCGCGGCCCAGCAACCUGGGGGUCCGCGUGACUUCUCCCUGGCCGGGGGAUGGAGGAUGCGCUCUCCUCUGUCCCUUCAAGGCCUCUUCCUCGUCCCAGGUCGAGUCUCCUCCUUGCUGACCAGGCAUCGCGAGCAGAUGAAUCCUCUGGGCGGUUGUCCCUGUCAGGCUGUCAGGACCUGAUUUUCCCUGGUUCACUAAAGCACCAGAAGGUAUGAAGGCGGAGAGAGGAAACAGGGCAAUGGAAUGAACACUUCUCAAGAAUCUCUCAGGUGCCACGGACUGAGCCAGGUGCCUUCCAUGUGUUAUCUCAUUUUACAGGGCAGGUAACAUUUCUGAAAGGUCAGGCAGCUAAAAAGCAGACAGCUUUCUGGCACAUUAGAGAAACAAAAGAAAUGUUGGAGACUGGAAUGCCUGCUGUGUCAAGGCACCUAAUUAGAAAACAACGUCAGAGUGAAUUUGUCGUGCGAGUCUCCAGCUCUGCCAGAAGAACUAAAAGAAAUGUGUCACCAGAGGAAUCACAAAGUAAAGUCUAUUAUUGUUCUGGGGAUUCUGGGGAUUCGAUGCACAAAUCAGAGGUCUGACAGGGGAUGGGGCAUGUGUUACGUCUUAGUAAUGUGCUAAAUGGUAGUGCUUCCAGAUUCCCCACAGAAUCCUACUGCAGUCAGAGAUCUUGAUGUCGGUUGAACUUAUCUAUUUAUAACGAGGAAACAUUAAGGUAACUCAAACCAACAAAAUAAAACAGGUUGACAGUGACUAAGCAACAACAGAGUGCUAGAUUUAUGUAGAGAUUCUUUCUUUCAAGUUGCUGAGACAUUUCACAAAGGAGAACCGUAGAUUAUCAUCAACUUCCAUUUGGGGACUUAGAAAUCCACCAAAGACAAAGACAAUGUUGGUAUCAUUCCUUCCAGCUCUUGGCUGAAACUGUUCUUUCCUAUGUCACCAGUGAACUUCUACUGGCCAACGCCCAAAGAAUACUUUCUCAGUUUUAGUUUAGAGACCUCUCUAUUCCACUUGCAUGGUUAGACACUAACUGCUGGAAACUUCCAAUCUGAAACACUCCCUGGGAAAUGUCUUAUUUGCAAAUUUUACAGCUAAAAUCCCUCCUCCAUAGACAAUCUAUUAAUAAACAGUACCUGCAAAUGGGGGACUCUCUGGGGGAAAUUUUUUCACUGCAAUUGGUGUCAGCAUUAUAUUAUAAUUAAUCCAUCUUUAUCUAAGAUAAAGUUGUAGGUUCAGAUAAAUAAUGUCCCUCUCCCUUUAACACUUGUUAUACUUGUGCUAGGCCUAUUUGUGGCCACACCUGGGAUUGAGUGGUUGAGAUGAGAUGCAAAAGAGAUUAUCUAAACUUCUGGGUGAUUUUUUGCUGAAUGAAUGUCUUUUAAAGCACCAUUUCUGAUCCCAUUUGGCUUCUCUCUAGCCUCUAUCGAUUAAUUGUUGAUUUAAAUUGGAAGAGAGGCUAUAUGGAGUCUAGAACUUUACUUAGUUCAUUGUUAUUUCCCCAGGACCUCGAAAAGUGCCUGGGAUAUAACUCACAAAUAUGUGUCGAAUGAAUGAGUAGUUCUAUCUGUUUCAUGUCUGGGUCAAUGUAGGCUGUAUCCACAUGUUCCUGGUAGGGGAAGUAAUAGUAACAAAGAUUUUGGCUAAGCUUCAGAGGCCAUGAAUUAAUAGAUUUUGGAAGAGGUCACUUUAGGAUUUAUCAGCUUCAAAUCUUAUAUAAACUUCUUACUGGAUCCAAAAGACUCCACUAUUUAUGGGAGACUCAUGGUUUGGCCAUUACAAUGGUGAAUGAGGUAAGGUUUUGGGACAUACGUAACCAGGCCUGAAUUGGUUGAAUAUGAACUUGAAAGUUCAAAUUCAGACUAACAUCUUUCUUUUGUCAGCUCUUCAAUCUCAGCACUUGUCAACUUAAAUAACAAACAGAAGAGGGGCUCUCUAAAAUAAAAAUGAUAUGUACUCAGGAGUAAGGCAUUGCAAUGGAAAUAUGUGUGCCAUAGUAAACUAUGUGCAUACUAAGAGAGGUAAAGAAAGACAAAAAUUUUUAAAGGAAAAAUGAGAUGGAUUACAUAAUUGUUUGGAGAUAAUUAUCCUUGCUACAAAGAUCAAUAGAAAG
RNAcentral lists this long non-coding RNA (3664 nucleotides) under Homo sapiens (human). RNAcentral's name for it is "HSALNT0018645". The record is from RNAcentral. Lineage: Eukaryota; Metazoa; Chordata; Mammalia; Primates; Hominidae.